Molecule: ribosomal RNA, 274 nt
Filed under: uncultured bacterium
Lineage: Bacteria
Description: partial 16S ribosomal RNA
Rfam family: Bacterial small subunit ribosomal RNA
Source: RNAcentral
AUACGGAGGGUGCAAGCGUUACUCGGAAUCACUGGGCGUAAAGCGUACGUAGGCGGUUGGUUAAGUUAGAUGUGAAAGCCCCGGGCUUAACCUGGGAACUGCAUUUAAAACUGGCGAACUAGAGUUGAGUAGAGGGGAGUGGAAUUUCAGGUGUAGCGGUGAAAUGCGUAGAGAUCUGAAGGAACACCAGUGGCGAAGGCGACUCCCUGGACUCGAACUGACGCUGAGGUACGAAAGCGUGGGUAGCAAACGGGAUUAGAAACCCUAGUAGUCC